GUGUGUCCAAACUUAUCAACUGUAUAUAUUAAAUAUAUACAGUUUUCAAUCUAUCAGUGAUACUGCAAUAAAGUUGUUGUUUUAAAAAUUCUAUUGAAUCUCUGGGUUGAAGCCACUUCUUUCUUCAUAGACCUACGAGUGUUCAGUUCCUUUGGAUAUACUUUGGAUCUUAUAUGAUAUUACCAAAUAAUUCAAUUUUCCCAAAACGGUUAUUCUUUUCUGACACUUGUACUUUUGUUACUUUUUCCCUCAGGUUUAUAUGUGAAAAGAAUAAUGUCAAGGUGGGAUCAGUCCUUAGAGAGUCUUAUAAUGAUGAAGUGCUAAGUGAGUUUUUGUAUCACAUUUUCUGUUUGAUGUCUCCACUUAACCUCGUGGAUGGGACAGAAAGGAGAAGAGAGAGAGAGAGAGGGAGAGAGAGAGAGAGAGAGAGAGAGAGAGAGAGAGAGAGAGAGAGAGUGAGAGAGUACAAAGAGCACAAAAGAGAGCUGUAAGCUUUAAGUCUCAGAGGCCUGGUGACCAUAAGCAAGAUAGGAACCUUGUCUGGGAAUCGGGUUAUAUAUUUUACCUUCCUGUGUUAGGAAAUGGGGCUUUCUGAUGCAUCUCUUCUUUUAAUCCACACCAGGCGGUUUACUUCAUAACUUCUUUUAAAGGAAAUUUGUUGCCCACCUUAAAUGGGAAUUUAGGUUAAUAUCAAGAAGAGGAAGUAUCUUCUAUUUUAUCUACUAGUGUUGCUAACACUGUACAACAUGUAUCUACUUAGAGUGGUUUUAUUUUGCUUCGUGGCCGUAUUUUUUUGCUUUAUUACUGAUUGUUUUAGUUUUGGUAUCUGUUUUGGGGGUGGGUUCUUAUAUUUUCAGAGGUAUUUGGAAUUAUUUGGAGGUUAAUUUUUUUUUAAUUGUAAAAUGUAUAUAAACAUAAAAUUUACCAUUUUAAUCAUUUUAAGUGUAAAAUUCAGUGGAAUUAAGUAAAUCCACAGUGGUGUGCAAUGAUCACCACAAUCCAUCUCCAGAAAUGAUUCAUUAUCCCAAACUAAACCUCUGUAACCAUUAAACACUGACUCCCCAUUCCCAGCUCUUGGUAACCUCUAUUCUACUUUCUGUCUCUCCUAGUUUGCCUAUUCCAGGGACUGAAUAGAAUAAAAUCAUACAGUAGUAUUCCUUUGUGACUGCUUUAUUUUACCCAGCAUAUUGUCUUCAAGGUUAAUCCAUGUUAUAGCAUGUGUCAGAAUUUUAUUUCUAAGCUGGACAUGUAUGCACAUGACUGUAGUCCCAGCUACUCAAGAGGCUGAGGCAGGAAGAUCGCUUGAGUCCAAGAGUUAGAUUCUAGCCUGAACAACAUAAGGAAACCCAGUUUAAAAAGAAAAUUAUUUCCUUUUGUAGGGCAAAUAACAUUUCCUUGUAUGCAUAUACCACAGUUUGCAUAUCACUUUAUCUGUUGAUGAACACUUGUAUUGCUUCUACCUUUUGUCUAUUAUAAAUAAUGCUGCUUUGAACAUGGGGGCACUAUGUCCCUUUGAAAUACUGAUUUCAGUUCUUUUGGGUAUAUACCCAAUACUGCAAUUGCUGAAAUAUGGUAAUUAUAUCUUUAAUUUUUUGAAGAACCACCAUAGUGUUUUCUGUGGUGACUGUGCCAUUUUACUUUCCUACCAGCAAUGCACGGGGUUAUAAUUUCUUCACUUGUCAACACUUGUUAUUUUCUGUUUGUUUGCUUGUUGAUAAUAUUGAUUCUAAUGGGUGUGAAGUCGUAUCACAUUGUGGUUUUGGUUGCAUUUCCCUAAUUAGUGAUAUUGAGCAUUGUUUCACUUAUUUAUGAGGUAGAAUUGAUUUUAGAAAUAUUUUUGUUUGAGUUUUGAUUUAUUGGUGUGUAGCUGUAGACUUGGGUCAUUUUGGACUACUGACACUGGUGGAGGUUCCUGAAUGCUGGGAGACCUGGACAUGUCCAGAUUAAAUGUCCCACACCAUAAUCUCCCUUUCUCUUGCUCCAUGGCAAGUAAUUUAGCUAAUCCUUUAAUUUAUUCAGUGCACCUCCCUCUCUCUUUACAGUCUUUUGUUUAACUUGGCUCCCUAGCUCUUAAAAUAUAACUAGUUUGGGGUCUGUGGAUCUCUUACUCCUACUUGCUUCCCCCUUUCUUCAGCCUCAGUAUUGAAAGGAAAAAAUAGAUUCCUGGGAGGCCUGUGUCUCCAAAUGAAAAUUUUGAAAGAGACCCUCUUGACAAGAACUCUAGGAAAUGUUGAGAAAGUCCAGGGCUGAGAAGGAAGAAUAAGAUAUAACUAGGUUCUAAGCCAAUUGCUCUCUUGGAAAUGAUUCCAGGCAAGGUAAAUGAUCUGUAUAAUCCCCAGGAAUGGUGGAGAAAAUGAGAUUUUUGUCCUAUGAAUCCUGGCACUGCCUAAAUGAUCUAUCUCUUUUGCUUGAAUUCUCUGCAUGUUUACCUUGUUCUCUCUGUUGUUUUGGUGUUAAAAGUUAAAUAACUCUGAACCAAGGGACUAGGAAUUUGGGGGCACAGAGGGUGGGGAGACCUUUAACACUGGUGGAACACAAAUCAUUUUUAAUAUGCCAUUCCUAAUGACUUGAAAAUACAUAGGAAAAUGUUGGUGAGAUUAUUUGUUGCCGACUGAAGAGAAGAAGUCCUCAAAAUCAGCACAUGAAAUAUGCAGCAAGUAAGAGUAUCCUCACUAAAGGAUGGUUAGAGAAUGGGAAUGGAGUGGCAAACAUACUAGAAAUUCUUCAUCGUAUCUAAACUUCACGUAUAUAUUUGGGUAGAGCCACCACCUUCAGCUGAGUGUAGUGCCCUACUCCAGAGGGCGUCACUCAUGUAAACUAAAACAUGAUUGUAGCCUUUUGGAGUAGAGUAAUACACAUCACGUAACGCAUAUUUGGUGGCCAUGGGUGUGAGUGUAUACAGCCGCAUGCACAGAGCUGCCCUCCCUUGUGUCCAAGCACCACCCUCCCCUUGCUGGGCUAACUCAAUGGACUCCCAUAGGCAGGUCUUGAAAGGCAAAUCCUAGGGACUGAGGGCUCCCAGGAAAAAUCACCCAUGUAGGCUUUCCGGGGAUUUAUAUACCCUUGUCCAAAGGAGGCAUGCCCACACAGGUAAGAAAAUUUGUAGUGAGGAUGUGGCUUUUCCUCUUUUUAUAUUCAGAGCUUCUACUGCUACAGAGCCCAACUAUUCAUUUUGCCUUGAAAAACCUCCAACGUAUUUUUCCUCACAACAUUUCUUUUAGCUUCCAAGCCUUUUCAUUUCCCAGUGGGCUCUUCAAAUUCCCUCCUGCCUCAGAAGCAUCCCUCUGCACCAAAAAGCUCUUGCUCUUUCAGGAUUGAAGACAAGCCUUUCCUUAAGAGUUUGUGUGUUCUUCCUUACUUGGAAAAAUACAUUAUUUCCAAAAUUAUCUAUCUGUUGGUUAAAAAAAAAAUAUAUAUAUAUAUAAAAUAUUUAUGUAUAUAUUUUUAAAAAAUAUUUAUAUGUAUAUUUUAAAAAAUAUUUAUUGAAAAUAUGUGUAUAUCAGUCCUUUCUAAAUUCAACAUAUCUAUAAAAGGUUAAGAAGUUGCCUAGAAUAUUUGUUUUGUUAGUUUUCUUUGAAUUAUAUUUAACAUUUUAUUUUUAAAAUUAUAUGAAGGAAUAAAAAGAAGUGAAGGUAUUCAUCUCAGAUUAUUGAGAAUGAUAACAUAU
Molecule: long non-coding RNA, 3667 nt
Filed under: Homo sapiens (human)
Lineage: Eukaryota; Metazoa; Chordata; Mammalia; Primates; Hominidae
Source: RNAcentral